AUCCUUCUGUGGUUCAUGAGCAUGAUGACUGGGUUUUCACACUAUGGUGUGAGGUGUGCCUCCCUCAAACCUUGUGACAUCAGUAUUUUACCCUCUAACA
Molecule: small nucleolar RNA, 100 nt
Organism: Cynocephalus volans (Philippine flying lemur)
Lineage: Eukaryota; Metazoa; Chordata; Mammalia; Dermoptera; Cynocephalidae
Product: small nucleolar RNA U13
Exons: 1
Source: RefSeq, a predicted model, not a curated record